UAUCUGUGUCUGAUGCAGCGGUUCGUCGAAGGACUGAGACUGCAAUAGCAAACAACGAUGUAAUUCCUAUCUCCAUUUCUUUUCCCUGCAAUUAUUGAAGAUACCAGCCACUUUAUCAUCACACGCCAAAAUUGCUGUAACAUCAUCGAUGAGGAUUACGAAUGAAAGAGAAAUCAUGAGCGAAUGGAAUGAAUCAGCAGAUGUCACAAGGGACGAAAUACCGCCAUGAAACUGAUGAUCGUGCCAUGCUGGCAGGGACUGUACCCGAAGUUUGCGGGCCCGCCGAAGUGAGCUCGUGGUAAGUCACUGUACGCCUGGACUGGACGUCGUCGAACGUUGCUGUUUCGAGAGCAGAAGUAUUCGAAGGAGCAACGUCCAACGGCAAGCGGGCAACCAACCGGCCGGCGCGCCAAGGGACAAAGAGCGGCCGCCGGCCCAAAAGAAUAAAUAAAUAAAGUAGAGAAAAAGAGAGGAAGAGAGAGAAAGAAAGAGAGAGAGGGCAGAGCAUCAAACGAAGGAGAAGAGAAGGGAACAGGUUGAAAGAAGAAGGAGAAUGUGCCGCAAUGAAGGCGAUGGAGGGAAUAAGAUGGUACCCGGCCCAAGUGGCCGCCAUCAGUGCCAAGGACAUCGACCGAAAUCCAAGGGUACCGUCAAGGCCAAGGAAUGCCCGACCUGCGCCAUCGCAAAUUCGCUUGCGACUCCGCUCUUUCUCUGUUGCGGUCUUAUUCAGGGCGUGAGUAAAAUAAAAACUGUCUGUGCGCGUCCAAAAAGUGCCAGCAGCAAACCGACCGAAACUCAAGGGCGUCUGCGAAAUUCACUGUGCGUUGGAACAUGACUGACGUAUCGAUACGUAUAGCGGAAAAUAUCGAUAACUAGCACAAAUUUUAAUGAAGAGAUAUUCAAGUAUUUUUUAAUUUUUCGAAAUUUUUAAUUUGAA
Molecule: long non-coding RNA, 937 nt
Organism: Nylanderia fulva
Lineage: Eukaryota; Metazoa; Arthropoda; Insecta; Hymenoptera; Formicidae
Source: RefSeq, a predicted model, not a curated record